Long non-coding RNA from Danaus plexippus (monarch butterfly), 1170 nucleotides. RefSeq lists it as uncharacterized. Lineage: Eukaryota; Metazoa; Arthropoda; Insecta; Lepidoptera; Nymphalidae. The transcript is spliced from 3 exons. The record is from RefSeq and is a predicted model, not a curated record.
AAAGCUUUAUCAGACUAUAAUAUAUCCGAUUAAUACUUCAAUGUUAUGUUAGUUUAAACGUAAAAGGUUUACCAAUGAUUUAUUUUAAAUACACGGAAUAAAAUGGAAAAUCCAUAAUCAUUAAAUUGACGCGCAGUCGUAGGACGUGAUGGGAGUAAUGAGAUCCGUUUGUCAAUGUUCGGGCUACAGGUUAUGGACGCGGUGGACUAGUUUUGUGACGAUAAAAACAUUUGGUGUCAGAUAAGGAUGGAUGUAUUCGAACGGUGUGGCCUGAGGAAAAACACCGCUCCGAUGAAGCUGGCAGCACAAAAAAUAUAUACAUACGGGAAUUUUAAUAUGUGUCUAAAGAAACCAGUGUUACGCUUUCUUAUGUCGAUAUUUAUCAGAACUGAUGAUGUAUUGUGGACUGUGAAUGAUUAUCGUUUAAUAUAAACCGGUUAUGAUAUUGUUUUUUUAGGAAGUAAAGAUGAAAUUAAUUAAAAAUUUGUAAAUACUUGUGAACGAGUCUUGUAUUAUUGAUACGAAACGAGCUCAAAGUUGUUUUACUCAGUUUCUUAACUUUCCUGUAUACCGUUAUGUGGACUUUAAUUUUAAAUUUAAAUCAUGUAUUUGAAAUUACAACGAAUUUAUAUGACGUUUCGAAAGAAUAAAUAGAAAUCGCAUGCCAAUACUAACAAGACAAAGUGUUUAUUUGAAAAUAAAAUUUGACAAAUGUAUGUAUGCAUACAUAUAUUAAUAAUAUUUUACUAUAAGACUAAUAUUGUCAGAAAAAAAACAUAAACCGUAAAGUAGAUUAGUUAAAAAUAUAUAAUAAAUGUAUCGUUUCAUUCUAAAAUAAAUUUGAACAUCUUAAAUGCAGUCGAAAGAAAAUAUUACAUAUAAUAAAAUUUAUAACCUUAUAAUAAAAACAUUAAUAUAAAAUGACAUAGCUUGAAUGCAUAUAUCAAAUACUUAUAUGUUUUUUUUUGUUACGUUUAAACGACCUUAAACUUGAAUCUAAUUCAUGUGAUCAAAACAAAAACCAGUCUGGAGCAAGUGAAAGGCGUAGGGUCAUUGGAUAAGCCUAAUAUAUUUGACAAGGAAAUAAUAACACUAUAAAAAACUAGUAGUAUCACAUGCUUUUAUAGAAAUUCUUGAAUUCUCGAUUGUCAAACAUCAAACAUUAAGAGU